GGCGACCGGCGCACGGGUGAGUAACACGUAUCCAACCUGCCGAUAACUCGGGGAUAGCCUUUCGAAAGAAAGAUUAAUACCCGAUGGCAUAAUUAGACCGCAUGGUUUGAUUAUUAAAGAAUUUCGGUUAUCGAUGGGGAUGCGUUCCAUUAGGCAGUUGGUGAGGUAACGGCUCACCAAACCUUCGAUGGAUAGGGGUUCUGAGAGGAAGGUCCCCCACAUUGGAACUGAGACACGGUCCAA
Molecule: ribosomal RNA, 243 nt
Filed under: uncultured bacterium
Lineage: Bacteria
Description: partial 16S ribosomal RNA
Rfam family: Bacterial small subunit ribosomal RNA
Source: RNAcentral